Gasterosteus aculeatus aculeatus (three-spined stickleback) is the source of this 1059-nucleotide long non-coding RNA. NCBI's taxonomy places the organism in Eukaryota, Metazoa, Chordata, Actinopteri, Perciformes, Gasterosteidae. The record is from Ensembl.
GGAAGCUCAUGAGCCAUUCGAGACAAACUGGCACAGACUAAACACACAACGACAAAGAGGUGGAAACAAUAAGGGCAAUACAAUUAAGACGGCUCAGACGGUUCUCCUGGUUGUCACUGCCUUCACCAUCUGCUGGAUGCCCCACCACAUCAUCGCCAUGUGGGUGGAGUUCGGCACCUUUCCCCUGAAUGACGCCACUUUUGCCUUUCGUAUCAUUUCCCACUGCCUUUCUUAUGGAAACUCCUGCGUCAACCCCGUCCUCUACGCCUUCCUGUCCGAGAACUUCCGCAAGGCCUGUCGCCAGGUCUUCACCUGCAGCUUCCUGCACCCGCCCCCAUCCACGGGAACGCUGGUCCGUUUACGCAUGGAGAACUUCUCCACCACACACUCAACCACCCCGAUCUGAAGGGAGGACGUAAUCAGAUACAUAAUGGAAACAAGCAUAUAUCUUCUUACAGCAGGAUCUUUGUCACAUGACAACACAACGGCUUUGAUUGGCUGCCAAACGUUUCAUUAUUGACAGAAUUACUUAAUGAACAGAAAAGAAAACUGCAAACUUGGAUGAAUAAAAUAAUCGUCUUCUAGAUUUUAUAUAGAAACAAAACACAAGCCUGGUUUUCAGCAAUGUGACUGAACAUUUAAAGAAAUACAAUAACAAUUGUUGUUCUCUUUUUAGAAAUGAAAGAUGAAAGUUGCUAUAUCGUCAUUACCGUUCAGCUUGAUAAUAAUCUACGCCCGUGGAAACAGAGGGUUCAGCAUGUAUUUCACUCUUCAAAAAUAUUUGUAAUAUAUUUAAUUUAUUGUUUUUUUCAAAUGUUGGUUUGUGUGUUUGAGAGUAGGUGUUUUCCCCCCAAUGAAAGAGAAACUCUGCAGGUGAUAUUUUCCCCUCAACGCUCCCCGGUUGAGCCAUUCUGGUCACUCACACAGCUCCUGAACCCCAAUUAUCCCCCUGACAUCAAAUCAACAAAUUUAAACUAACAAUUCUAAACAUUCAUUUACAUUUCUAACUUAUGUCACGAGUCAGUAACAAUUUACUUUUAGGAGUGUUUUGGUACAUUC